UAGCCGGCCUGAGAGGGUGACCGGCCACACUGGGACUGAGACACGGCCCAGACUCCUACGGGAGGCAGCAGUGGGGAAUAUUGCACAAUGGGCGAAAGCCUGAUGCAGCGACGCCGCGUGAGGGAUGACGGCCUUCGGGUUGUAAACCUCUUUCAGUAGGGAAGAAGCGAAAGUGACGGUACCUGCAGAAGAAGCGCCGGCUAACUACGUGCCAGCAGCCGCGGUAAUACGUAGGGCGCAAGCGUUAUCCGGAUUUAUUGGGCGUAAAGAGCUCGUAGGCGGUUUGUCGCGUCUGCCGUGAAAGUCCGAGGCUCAACCUCGGAUCUGCGGUGGGUACGGGCAGACUAGAGUGAUGUAGGGGAGACUGGAAUUCCUGGUGUAGCGGUGAAAUGCGCAGAUAUCAGGAGGAACACCGAUGGCGAAGGCAGGUCUCUGGGCAUCUACUGACGCUGAGGAGCGAAAGCAUGGGGAGCGAACAGGAUUAGAUACCCUGGUAGUCCAUGCCGUAAACGUUGGGCACUAGGUGUGGGGAACAUUCCACGUUUUCCGCGCCGUAGCUAACGCAUUAAGUGCCCCGCCUGGGGAAGUACGGGA
This 594-nucleotide ribosomal RNA is filed under the name Arthrobacter sp. 19ISP5-17. RNAcentral describes it as "bacterial SSU rRNA". It matches the Rfam family "Bacterial small subunit ribosomal RNA", at positions 284 to 887 of the family's 1533-position model. The record is from RNAcentral. Lineage: Bacteria; Bacillati; Actinomycetota; Actinomycetes; Micrococcales; Micrococcaceae.